GACAUGGUCAGCAACAAUACUCAGGUAGGCUGUGGCAUUGCAACAAUGCUCAAUUGGUACCAAGGGGCCCAAAGAGUGCCAAGAAAAUAUUCCCCACACCAUGACACCACCACCACCAGCCUGAACCGUUGAUACAAGGCAGGAUGGAUCCAUGCUUUCAUGUUGUUGACGCCAAAUUCUGACCCUACCAGCCGAAUGUCGCAGCAGAAAUCGAGACUCAUCAGACCAGGCAACGUUUUUCCAAUCUUCUAUUGUCCAAUUUCGAUGAGCUUGUGCAAAUUGUAGCCUCAGUUUCCUGUUCUUAGCUGAAAGGAGUGGCACCCGGCGUGGUCUUCUGCUGCUGUAGCCCAUCUGCCUCAAAGUUUGACGUACUGUGCAUUCAGAGAUGCUCUUCUGCCUACCUUGGUUGUAACGGGUGGUUAUUUGAGUCACUGUUGCCUUUCUAUCAGCUCGAACCAGUCUGGCCAUUCUCCUCUGACCUCUGGCAUCAACAAAGCAUUUCCGCCCACAGAACUGCCGCUCACUGGAUAUUUUUUCUUUUUCGGACCAUUCUCUGUAAACCCUAGAGAUGGUUGUGCGUGAAAAUCCCAGUAGAUCAGCAGUUUCUGAAAUACUCAGACCAGCCCUUCUGGCACCAACAACCAUGCCACGUUCAAAGUCACUCAAAUCACCUUUCUUCCCCAUACUGAUGCUCGGUUUGAACUGCAGGAGAUUGUCUUGACCAUGUCUACAUGCCUAAAUGCACUAAGUUGCCGCCAUGUGAUUGGCUGAUUAGAAAUUAAGUGUUAACGAGCAGUUGGACAGGUGUACCUAAUAAAGUGGCCGGUGAGUGUAUUUGUCUCUUGAAUCUACUCAACCAUGUGUAACACUCUGACAGGAAUUAUUUUAGAGAUUAUCGACCCAUGAAUCAUGAGUUAUGAGAUGAUUGUAGUGAUUGUGUUUGUGGAAACUAACAGCUUGGACUUGUGAACAAAAACACAGACAUUUUUACUUGUUACUUUUCUUCCGUAACUGAAUUGUAAACCAGUACCUCCAGGAAGCCCAGUGCCAUGUUCCCAUAAGACCAACUAGUUCCUGGGCCUUUCUCGUGAUCUGGCAGUGUAGGCCAAUGACAGCAACAAAUCCCCAGAUUCUCCUUGCACAUAUUCAACAGCCUUCAAUCAGGGCUGUACGACUAUCAGAUUUUUUAAAAAUCAUAAUUAUCAUGGCUUAAACUUAAACUAAAACUUAAGUAAUAACCAUAUUGUAUUAACAGACAACCCUAACAAAACAACACUAUCUGUUAGAUUAAGGACAGGCAAGACAAGAGUCAAGCAACACAUAAGGUCAUUAGAUUAGAUCAGAAUAGAUUAUUAUUGAUCCUUUUGGAGGAGUCUCUCAAGGGAAUUUAAAACUUUUCACUUCAUUUUUAUACAAAAUUGAUUUAGAUACAUCACAACACAGUGAGGUUGCAGUGAAAUUAGACACCCUCGGUUCCAACAAUCACAGAAAAAAUGGCAAAAAUCCCGGAGGUGUUAUUUAAACACAAAUACAUCUUGUUGGGUCUCACUCUUGUUUGAACGAUUCCUGCAUUCUCUUUUCGUUCUGUUUCUGGUAGUGAAGAAAUUCAAGUGUAAGUUUCUCAUUUGAUGUUUGUAAUGUUGUAUCAUUAAGCGUUUGAGAUGAGGUUUGGAACAUUAGGAUGGAUCCAGAACUAUCAGCAUGGACUGAGUGAAUAUAAGAGGAACUUUUUAUACUUUAUUUUCAUACUCUGGUUGUACAUUUUCUUUUUUAUUCUUUAUGGAAAUUUUUGGAGCCACACAGAACAACACAUAUCCUGUUGAGGAGUCUAUGUUCUAGGAAAAUAUGUGUAUUUUCAUAAUGCAUCAUUUUAGCAGGUUUAUUUCUGAAGAAGCUUUCAUACUUUGCUUUUAAAUACCUUUAUGAAUGUAGUUUGAGAGAAAAAGGAUCUAAAGUUUAUUAUUUGUUUAAAAAAAUGCUGGGCAUUCUGAAUGGUGAAUGUAAUGAUGUUUCCAGUGUUAUAUUGAGCGUUAAAAGGGCACAGUGUUUGGUAUCUGUAUAAAGACUGACUGCAAAAUGACCUUGUUGUCUUUCUCUGUUAUUCUUACAGGUUUUUUUUUAAACAUCCUUAAGCAUGCUUAAACUUUUUUCAAGCA
Molecule: non-coding RNA, 2156 nt
Organism: Xyrichtys novacula (pearly razorfish)
Lineage: Eukaryota; Metazoa; Chordata; Actinopteri; Labriformes; Labridae
Source: the annotation of a GenBank genome assembly